AGUCUGAUGGAGCAACGCCGCGUGAGUGAAGAAGGUUUUCGGAUCGUAAAACUCUGUUGUUGGAGAAGAACACGUUUGAGAGUAACUGUUCAGACGUUGACGGUAUCCAACCAGAAAGCCACGGCUAACUACGUGCCAGCAGCCGCGGUAAUACGUAGGGGGCAAGCGUUGUCCGGAAUGAUUGGGCGUAAAGGGCGCGUAGGCGGCCCGGUAAGUCUGAAGUGAAAGUCCUGGUUUUAAGUUGGGAAUUGCUUUGGAUACUGUCGGGCUUGAGUGCAGGAGAGGUAAGUGGAAUUCCCAGUGUAGCGGUGAAAUGCGUAGAGAUUGGGAGGAACACCAGUGGCGAAGGCGACUUACUGGACUGUAACUGACGCUGAGGCGCGAAAGUGUGGGGAGCAAACA
Molecule: ribosomal RNA, 402 nt
Filed under: uncultured bacterium
Lineage: Bacteria
Description: bacterial SSU rRNA
Rfam family: Bacterial small subunit ribosomal RNA
Source: RNAcentral